This is a long non-coding RNA of Humulus lupulus (European hop), 307 nucleotides long. RefSeq lists it as uncharacterized. The transcript is spliced from 3 exons. The record is from RefSeq and is a predicted model, not a curated record. Lineage: Eukaryota; Viridiplantae; Streptophyta; Magnoliopsida; Rosales; Cannabaceae.
AGGGAAAGAAUUUGAAAACUCAGGUGAUUGGGUGUCCAAAAACCAUUGAUGGUGAUUUGAAAUGCAAAGAAGUCCCAAUAAGUUUUGGGUUUGAUACUGCUUGCAAGAUAUAUGCAGAAAUGAUUGGAAAUGUCUUGAUAGAUGCCAGAUCAACUGGAAAAUAUUAUCACUUUGUGCGGCUUAUGGGGCGUGCAGCUUCACACAUAACACUUGAAUGUGCUUUGCAAACUCAUCCAAACAUUACAAUUGUUGGAGAAGAGGUACCUUUGAAUGACUUGUCUUGCCUUGUAUAGCUGCUCGAUUAAAA